UGGCAAUUUAUUGGAAGGACAUCAGUCAGAAUACCCUGACAGAGGAUGGGAAAGUGCAAAUGCUGAAGAUACAAUAUUGAGGAAAAAAUUUUAAAUACCAAGUCUCUCUUUGUAUAUAGAAGUAUUGAAGAAGGAAUUUCUCCUGUGACAGAAAAAGACUUGAAGAAUAGGUAUGUAGUCUGAGAUCAGCAGAUCAACUCUUGGAAAACUGGUGCUGUCAUGUAGGAUCUGCACUGAAAAAGGAAGAGAUUUACUGUCAGCAUACGUGCAAUCAACAUAAGGUGAAAUUAUUCAGAUUUCUUCAGAUCUUUAUAUGGAUAGAUUGUUUCCUGCAAGCUGUGCCUCAAGUGUAAAACUUCAGACUUCACGAAGCCUGUGCUGCAAUGACAAUGGAUGUCCCUUAAAGCUUUUAUGAGGACAUUUCUGCUGUGCCUCUGCUGGCAGGUGACAUGCAUUAUAUUUCAAAGGCUGCUUCAGGUGAUGGAUCCUGCCUUUCCCUCUAGAGAACUUGUUCCUCAGUGUGUGCUGAUGUUUCACUAGUGAAUUGAUCCAGUGUGGAGUCAGACUGAAAAAUGUAACCUCUCCAACUAAGGAACCCACUGUGCUCCACUGGACCAGAAUUGGACAUCCAGCCAGAAGAACUGCUUCAAAAGAAUGUAGAUGAUUGCAGCUUUCAGUCAUUAAAGACAGGCUGUGCAUAACUUUGGGAUUGGGUGAUCGCCCAUUUGGCCUAUUUACUGUUCUCUGAAAUGUAUUAAGCUGGCAUUUGUCUAAGCCAGGUGAGAGAAGAGAAAGGAAAGGUGGAUGGUUUAUCAAAAUUAGUUCCUUGUCUUGAAGGGGCUGAGUGACUCUUAGAACAGCAGCACAGGAUUUUGCUUAUAUGUGUGCUGCAGC
This is a long non-coding RNA of Ficedula albicollis (Collared flycatcher), 894 nucleotides long. RefSeq lists it as uncharacterized. Lineage: Eukaryota; Metazoa; Chordata; Aves; Passeriformes; Muscicapidae. The transcript is spliced from 3 exons. The record is from RefSeq and is a predicted model, not a curated record.